CUCUAACACAGCCCUGCUUCCACAGCCUGGCUUUCCCAAGCAGGCAGCUCCUGAAACUUCUCUCAGCUCCAAUUGCUGCGCUCCACCUUUUAUUAUAAUUGAUUCUGCAUCGCCAUAGGAACCCGCUCCAGCGUGAGUGAAGCGCAGCUGCCUUCUCUGUGUGCUCUCCGGGAGACGGGAGGCUGCUCCUUCCCUCGAGAUGGCAAGUGCUGAAGCUGGGAGUAGCUGUGGCUGAGCGGCAGGGCCCCCCGGCCCAUGCCAGCCAGCCCAAGAAAGCUGGACCCUGGAGAUCCUUGUGCAGUGACGUGGCUGUUUGGACACAGCCUGCUCCUGCUCCUGCUGCAAUAGCGAUGCUAGUGCCCCCACGCAGCUGCAGUGAGGAGCUCUUGACCUGUGCAAGAGUGAAUCCCAGGCUCCUCAGCUCAGCUUAGCAGUGCCAGUGGCUAUGGAGUGACCUGUGUGCAGGUGGUGCUCGGGGCGUGUGGGCACAGCAGGAGGCUGGAGCUUGCUGCCUGAGCCUAAAUGCCCCCUGUCCACGCACUCCUUGCAGC
Molecule: long non-coding RNA, 551 nt
Filed under: Anser brachyrhynchus (Pink-footed goose)
Lineage: Eukaryota; Metazoa; Chordata; Aves; Anseriformes; Anatidae
Description: lncRNA (ENSABRG00000012889.1)
Source: RNAcentral